GGAAUUUUCCGCAAUGGGCGCAAGCCUGACGGAGCAACGCCGCGUGAGGGAUGAAGGCCUCUGGGCUGUAAACCUCUUUUAUCAAGGAAGAAGAUCUGACGGUACUUGAUGAAUAAGCCACGGCUAAUUCCGUGCCAGCAGCCGCGGUAAUACGGGAGUGGCAAGCGAUAUCCGGAAUUAUUGGGCGUAAAGCGUCCGCAGGCGGUCUGUCAAGUCUGCUGUUAAAGCGUGGAGCGUAACUCCAUUUCGGCAGUGGAAACUGACAGACUAGAGUGUGGUAGGGGCAGAGGGAAUUCCCGGUGUAGCGGUGAAAUGCGUAGAUAUCGGGAAGAACACCAGUGGCGAAGGCGCUCUGCUGGGCCAUAACUGACGCUCAUGGACGAAAGCCAGGGGAGCGAAAGGGAUUAGAUACCCCUGUAGUC
This 422-nucleotide ribosomal RNA is filed under the name uncultured cyanobacterium. RNAcentral's name for it is "bacterial SSU rRNA". It matches the Rfam family "Bacterial small subunit ribosomal RNA", at positions 358 to 795 of the family's 1533-position model. Lineage: Bacteria; Bacillati; Cyanobacteriota. The record is from RNAcentral.